RNAcentral lists this ribosomal RNA (293 nucleotides) under uncultured bacterium. RNAcentral describes it as "partial 16S ribosomal RNA". It matches the Rfam family "Archaeal small subunit ribosomal RNA", at positions 455 to 747 of the family's 1478-position model. The record is from RNAcentral.
GUGCCAGCCGCCGCGGUAAUACCGGCAGCCCGAGUGAUGGCCGCUGUUAUUGGGCCUAAAGCGUCCGUAGCUGGCCGCACAAGUCCGUCGGGAAAUCCGCCCGCUCAACGGGCGGCCGUCCGGCGGAACCUGUGUGGCUUGGGACCGGGAGGCCUGAGGGGUACGAUCGGGGUAGGAGUGAAAUCCUGUAAUCCCGCUCGGACCGCCGAUGGGGAAACCACUUCGAGAAAACGGAUCCGACAGUGAGGGACGAAAGCCAGGGUCUCCAACCGGAUUAGAUACCCCAGUAGUCC